AGUGAACGCUGGCGGUAGGCCUAACACAUGCAAGUCGAACGGCAGCACAGUAAGAGCUUGCUCUUACGGGUGGCGAGUGGCGGACGGGUGAGGAAUACAUCGGAAUCUACUUUUUCGUGGGGGAUAACGUAGGGAAACUUACGCUAAUACCGCAUACGACCUACGGGUGAAAGCAGGGGAUCUUCGGACCUUGCGCGAUUGAAUGAGCCGAUGUCGGAUUAGCUAGUUGGCGGGGUAAAGGCCCACCAAGGCGACGAUCCGUAGCUGGUCUGAGAGGAUGAUCAGGCACACUUGAACUGAGACACGGUCCAGACUCCUAAGGGAAGCAGCAGUGGGGAAUAUUGGACCAUGGGCGCAAGCCUGAUCCCGCCCUACCGGGUGGGUGAAGAAGGCCUUCCGGUUGUAAAACCCCUUUGUUGGGAAAGAAAAGCAACAAGUUAAUACCCCGCUGUUCUGAAGGGUCCCAAAAGAUAAGCCACGGCUAACUUCGUG
This 492-nucleotide ribosomal RNA is filed under the name uncultured bacterium. RNAcentral describes it as "partial 16S ribosomal RNA". It matches the Rfam family "Bacterial small subunit ribosomal RNA", at positions 29 to 507 of the family's 1533-position model. The record is from RNAcentral.